RNAcentral lists this transfer RNA (77 nucleotides) under Acidobacteriota bacterium. Its description in RNAcentral is "Acidobacteria bacterium tRNA-Leu". It matches the Rfam family "tRNA". Rfam says of the family: Transfer RNA (tRNA) molecules are approximately 80 nucleotides in length. Their secondary structure includes four short double-helical elements and three loops (D, anti-codon, and T loops). The record is from RNAcentral. RNAcentral also lists the same sequence under 1 other name. Lineage: Bacteria; Pseudomonadati; Acidobacteriota.
GCUGGUGUAGCCCAAUUGGCAGAGGCAGCCGACUUAAAAUCGGCAAAGUCUGGGUCCGAAUCCCAGCACCAGCACCA